This 423-nucleotide ribosomal RNA is filed under the name uncultured bacterium. RNAcentral's name for it is "bacterial SSU rRNA". It matches the Rfam family "Bacterial small subunit ribosomal RNA", at positions 359 to 773 of the family's 1533-position model. The record is from RNAcentral.
GAAUAUUGGACAAUGGGGGGAACCCUGAUCCAGCCAUGCCGCGUGUGUGAAGAAGGCCUUUUGGUUGUAAAGCACUUUAAGCGAGGAGGAGGCUACUCUAGUUAAUACCUCGAGCUCGUGGACGUUACUCGCACAAUAAGCACCGGCUAACCCCGGUCCAGCGCCCGCGGUAAUACAGAGGGUGCAAGCGUUAAUCGGAUUUACUGGGCGUAAAGCGCGCGUAGGUGGCCAAUUAAGUCAAAUGUGAAAUCCCCGAGCUUAACUUGGGAAUUGCAUUCGAGACUGGUUGGCUAGAGUAUGGGAGAGGAUGGUAGAAUUCCAGGUGUAGCGGUGAAAUGCGUAGAGAUCUGGAGGAAUACCGAUGGCGAAGGCAGCCAUCUGGCCUAAUACUGACACUGAGGUGCGAAAGCAUGGGGAGCAAAC